GGUGGUGGCAGUGCCCUGUUGGGGGCUGUGACAGAGAGCAGGACGGACUCCUCAGCAGGGUCUGUGUGAUAGGACAAGUGGGAAUGGUUUCGGGGAGGAAAAUUUAGACUGGAUGGAUGGAAAAAGUUGAUUGCAGUCGUGGCAGUGAGGCACUGGCACAGGUUCCCCAGUGGCAUCCCGUUGGGUGGCAGCAGCACCCCUUUGGGUGACAUCCGUUGGGUGGCAGCCCAUGAUUUCCCAUGGGACGGAGUCGAUCUGGACGUGCUGAUGGAGAUGCCCAUGAGGUCGGACAGCCCUUCGAUGCUCUUUGCUUGCUCUGCGUGACCCAAACCACAUCUCUCACCCUCCCCAACCUCUGAUGUAAGCAUGGAGGAGCAGAUCCGGAACAGCCACGUAUUUCUGGUUACUUCUAACAACUUUUUCUUUCCUUUUCCUAUAGGGCCCGUUAGUGUUCCUUCAGAAAGAAAGGAGCACGAGGCCAGAAGCAUGAAUUAAAGCAAGAAGUGGGGUCGCAGUUGUAGGAUCGCGGUGCCCCCCGAGCCCACACGGCUCUUUGAGCCGCAUCCCCGCUGCCCCCUCCCCUUCCCCCUCUCCCCCCCCAUCGUCUUUGUGUUUUUCCUGCAACCACCGCCUCCAUCCCCAUGGAAACUCUGGGGCCACCCCCCCCGGGCGGAAAGGGCAGGACGAGAGGGGACAAAGGGAGACGGGACGGAGAGGGAGAGGGGGGUGGAAUACCGGAGAAAAGGCAGAAAGAGCGGGGGGAGAAAUGGGGCAAAAGUUGGAGGGAGAAGGGGAGAGGAUGGGGAAAGGGUUUGGGGAGCCCGGAGGUGGAAAAAAAAGAAGAAAAAAAACUUGUUUUUCUUUUCUACUUUCAUUUUCCUGAAACACGGGAGAAAGUCCCGAAGUGUUGGGAGGAGACGGCGGAACUGAGAGCAUCGGGCUGAGAGCGAGUUUCUUUGUUCUUCACCGUGACAAGCAGAGCUUUCUUCCUUAUUGUCACUGUUUGGCUUCGUAAGCGGAAUCUUCUUUCAUCUUUUCCCCUGCGAUGAGGAUGCUGCGACGAUGCUCUGGGAGAAGCAGCGAUUCACUCUGCUCCAGGAUUUAGCUCUGCCCUCAGCUGAGCCACAGAUGCUGCGGAGAGGUUGCCAGGGAUGCAGACACAAUCCUACCUCCAGGUUUUUGCUGCAUCCCCGCUGCCGAGCGAGAUAUGGAUCAUACCCGGGAUUAUCGCCCAUCCGACUGGGAGGAAGGGAUGCUGAGAUGUCGGGUUGCAAGGGAGAUGGAUCUGGGCGCCAGGUUUUCGUGCCGUCUCGGUGCCGUGGGGUGGGAGUGGGGUGUGGGGACCCCCCCAGUGAUGCGGGGUGCGGGAUUUUUCAGUUCUGGUGCCGCUGCUGUGCUCACGGUGAGGUCUCUGUGGCGCAAUGGACGAGCGCGCUGGACUUCUAAUCCAGAGGUUCCGGGUUCGAGUCCCGGCAGAGAUGAUCUCCAGGCAGGUGUCUCUUUUAUUUUACGUGUAUUCCUCCAUAAAUCCCCAUCCUGCUCCUUUACGACACCCCAGAAGGCUUCAGGCGGGAGAUGAUGACUUUUCACGGCGGCGUCUCGGCCGCUGACGCUCGCAGUGCUCGCGUGCUCCCAUCCAAGGUGCGUUUCCUCCACCAUGUUCCCCUUCCCUCGUUCUUUUCGGUAGCUCCUGGGUGCUUUGAUGUUUUAACCCUGUUUGUUCCCCCCAGUUCUGCUUGUUGGACCUGUCUGAUGCUUUAAGAAAACUGCUGUGUUUCCAGUAGAAAUCCGGUGGUCAGGCAGUGGUUUGGAACCUUGUAAAUCUUCUGCAAAUGCCCCUGUUUUUUCAUGUUUUCAUGUUGAUGAUGCACGUUUGCUAGCAGCCACCUCCAUAUCCCCACGGAGGUUCAUCUUUGUAAGUAGCAAACAUUGACGAAAGACAAAGAUCCUGACCCUGCAGUAGAGCUUCUUCCCCCUCUGUGACCUUUGAAGACUUUUCUCCACUUGAAAAGUGGGUUUCUUUCCAUUGGUGUCAGCCUAGAAUCUCCUUCUGGGAUGGCUAAAAAAAAAAAGUCCAAAGAAAUAAUGUGUGUGACCUCAGGGGCUGGAUGUGGAUGGAGCCCAAAACAGUGGGGAGGGAGGGCAGCAAAAGCCUUACAUGAGAAGGGUCCAUCACAAUCCCAUUCCUCUGGAUGGAGGGGGCAAAAAAAAUAUGAAUGCCAGAGCCCCGGCUCCAUGUCCAGCAACUCCAUCACCCUGAGCAUCUCCUAUGGUGAGUGCUGAGAACUGCUCUGUGCUGUCCUGGGACAAACAGCCCCGUGCAUAUGGGAGGCAGAACUGUUGGCUUUGUGGGCUGAGCUUUGGGGGAAGGGGCUUCUUGUUUCCGUAUCUCUGCAAAGUACAUCUUCCUAAAGGACACCUCAUUCCAACCCCUGCAAUGGGCAAGGCUGCCUUCAGCUAGGUCUUGGAUCUUGGAUUUUACACCUCUUCGUGUGUCCUUCCAGCUGCUGCCACCAGAACCUGGCGAUGUCCUGAUGGCAGCAGCUGGGAGAAAGGCAGAAUCUGAGCAGCUGGGUGCAGGAGUUGGGCAGAACGCGCUCAGCUCUGAAGUCCGUGAGGGUUGGUUUGUUUGCCAAGUGUCUCCUCACUCUUCUGCAGCCCUGUCAAAGUGCUGCUGCUGCUGGCAGCGCUGGGGAUCCUAUUGCUGGGGGUGGUUGUUGUCCAUGUCCUCACUGCACACAGCAGAGAGCCAAAAGGAAUGGAACACCAAACGCCCAUGGAAGCAUCUGCAUCAGUCGUGCUCCAGGAGAGGAUGUUUGAGGCUGUCCCUGCAAGAGCACCCAGGAAGCGAGCAGAAUGUGUGUCCCCACGUCCUUCCCCCAACCUGACCCGUCCACGUUGCAGCAAACAGAUGCUUCCCUUGGUUUUACUGUGUACAUUGCCCAACAAAGCAUUGCUGAGCA
RNA transcript from Tympanuchus pallidicinctus (lesser prairie-chicken), 2963 nucleotides. RefSeq lists it as uncharacterized. The record is from RefSeq and is a predicted model, not a curated record. NCBI's taxonomy places the organism in Eukaryota, Metazoa, Chordata, Aves, Galliformes, Phasianidae. The transcript has 4 exons.